This 101-nucleotide ribosomal RNA is filed under the name uncultured bacterium. RNAcentral describes it as "partial 16S ribosomal RNA". It matches the Rfam family "Bacterial small subunit ribosomal RNA", at positions 1384 to 1482 of the family's 1533-position model. The record is from RNAcentral.
UACACACCGCCCGUCACACCGUGGGAGUUGGUUACGCCCGAAGGCAGUGCUCUAACCCGCAAGGGAGGAAGCUGACCACGGUGGGAUCAGCGACUGGGGUG